UCACCUAGAAAAAUACAUACAUUAUUUUAACUACAGAAAAAAUAAUUAUCAAUUAACAGUAAGAAGGGGAAAGCCAAUGUACUUCUCGAAAGUCCUUUGUAAUUAGAUAUAAGAGGGAAGAUAUUCCUUUCAUAAGCAGGGAUAAAGUGUCACAGAAGACAAGAACAAUGGCGAUCACAAGUGCAAAGAAUCUGAUUGCUUUUUCAUGUUCCAGAUGUGAAAUGUGCCCAUUGUCCAAUAUUGGAUAAUUGGGGGGAAUAAAUUGUCUAAGCUCUGAGAUGACUCAAUAUAGAGGCUCUUGUCAUCAAUGCCUCUGAACCACUCCGGACUGAGGGCAUUAGGGAACUGGGUCAAUAUCAGUUAGCUGAGACAUAAAAGUGGCUUGUUUUUUUUGGCUUGCCUGCUCAGGAAUCAUUUUCACGUAACUGAUGCUGAGGCAAUGGAGUCUUCACUUGCAAAAGAGAGGAGAACCGACAAAUACUAAUCGCCUGUAACUACAACAAACCCCUAGGGACCUGACAGACUUUUAUUUAAAAAAUGCCACACUACAGGGCUUCCCUGGUGGUGCAGUGGUUGAGAGUCUGCCUGCCGAUGCAAGGGACAUGGGUUCGUGCCCCGGUCUGGGAGGAUCCCACGUGCCGCGGAGCGGCUGGGCCCGUGAGCCAUGGCCGCUGAGCCUGCACCUCUGGAGCCUGUGCUCUGCAACGGGAGAGGCCACAGCAGUGAGAGGCCCGCGUACCGCCAAAAAAAAUGCCACACUACAAAUCAUAUAUCUGAUAGGGCGGUUAAUAUCAAAAGUAUAUAAAGAAUGUAUACAACUCAAAUACAGGUGACCAACAAGCACAUGGAAAGAUGCUCAACAUCACUAAUCAUCAGGGAAAUGCAGAUAAAACCACAAAGAGACAUCACGUCACGCCUGUUACAACGACUGUUAUCAAAAUGACAAGAAAUAAGUGUUGGUGAGGAUGUGGGGAAAAGCAACUCUAGUGCAUCAUGUGCAGAAAUGUAAAUUUGUGCAGCCACUAUAGAAAAUAGUAGGAGGCUCCUCAAGACAUUAAAAAUAGAACUACCAUAUGAUCCAGCAAUUCCCCUCCUGGGUAUUUAUCUAAAUAAAAUGAAAAUAGUAAUUUGAAAAGAUAUAUGCCCCCCCCCACCAUGAUCAUUGCAGCAUUAUUUACAAUAGCCAAGAUAAGGAAAUGAGUGUCCAUCAGUGGAAGAAUGGAUAAAGAAGAUGUGAUAUAUAUAUAUAUAUAUAUAUACACACACACACACACACACAAUGGAAUACUCUUCAGCCAUAAAAAAAAUGGCCUCUUGCCAUUUGCAACAACAGGGAUGGACCUUGGGGACAUUAUGCUAAGUGAAAUAAUUCAGAGAAAGGAAUACCAUAUGAUCUCAUGUGGAAUUCAACAAUAAAAGCAAGCUCAGAUACAGAGAACGGACUGGUGGUUGCCAGAGGUGGGGGGAGUCGGGUGGGUGAGGAUGUACAAUGGGUGAAAGGGGUCAAAAGUUAUUACAGACUUCCAGUUAUAAAAAAAAUAAGCCCUGGGGAUGUAAUGUACAGCACAGUGAAUAUAGUUACUAAUACUGUAUUGCAUAUUUGAAAGAUGCUACGAGGGUAGGUCUUAAAUAUCCUUAUUACAAGAAAAAAAAAUUUUUUUGUGUGAUUAUGUGAGGUGACAGAUGUUAACUAGACUUAUUGUGGUGAGCAUUUCGCAAUGUAUACAAAUGUUGAAUCAUUAUGUUGUACACCUGAAACUAAUAUGUUAUAUGUCAAUUAUACCUCAAUUAAAAACAAUAUAUUACUAUCAAUAUAAUACUUAAAAAAGAACUCUUCUCUCUGCAGUGGUUCUCACGCCUGGGUGUACAUCAGAAUCACUGGAAGAGACUUUUGCCCCACCCAGCAUGCAGAACUCACCUGAACAGGGAUCGAACCUGCACCCCCUGCAGCGGAAGCAUGGAAUCUUAACCACUGGACCGCCAGGGAAGUCCAAGGCUGCCGUUCUUGUAGAGCAAUAAAGGGAUGGCCCACUGGUCUGGUUCGGGCACCUUCCCAAGGUACUCAGUGUGAUUACACGCCAAGCUUUUGUCUGGGGACUAAUUUCUAAAAGUCCUCAAUUCUGUAACUGUCAGGUUGUCCGUCCUUGCAUCCUCCCCCCCUAGGCACGGGCCCUGCUCUCCUGUGGACCACUCACCACAGCAUCACAAAUCAGGUUGCCCAUGUUGCAUUCUCGAAAGCGGCAUGACUGAGUGGUACCAUCCAGAUAGACAAUUGUUUUCCCCAGUUCCUGGGUCGAGUAAUUAUCUAAUUUUAUCCUCCAUUUGUUAAUGUCUGCUUUUAUGCUUGGAUCUAGAAGAAAACAGACAAAUCAGCCUGCAGUUAAAGCCUAAAUGUUGGAGAAAGGCUCAAACGUCAUUCAGCUCACCUGGCGUGAGUACACAGUUCUUUACCGUAUUUGUGUACAUUUUGAUUUUGACUGGGAAAUUUCCUUAGGAACCUCUAUUCCGUUUCCUGGGAGUAAGACCCAGCUUGGAUCUUAAAGACGUGCCAAGUAAAUCAGCAUCAACUCGUCACAUCUGAAUGAGUGUCUGCUGGCUCAACGGGGAGGGCAUUAGUGGUGGGGAGACAAUGAGAGGCCCAAGGGCAGGUAUAAAGGGUUGAGACGUCCGGCUACAGGGUCCCGGCCCCUCCCUCUGGCUGUCAGGAGCUCUGGCUCUCCAGGGCCCCUGGUCACCCGUCCUUCCCUGUCUGAUCACGGUAAGCAGGAAAGGGCAGGCGAGAGAGAAGCACAGGAGGAUGUUCAUGUACACUGUAUGAAAUGCAUGACAUGAAAUGUCUUUUCGUUUUGAUUCCCAGAUCAAAAAGUAAGAAAGACACACACGCAUUUGAUGACCUGAAGCCCAUGGAGACUGGGCCGCUUGCCCAGGUACACUGCUCCCUUUGCCCCAACAAUCAGCUCUCCUCUGGACAUGGGCCGAGAGUGGCUCUCCUGUGCCAGGGUGAAGCUGGAAGAGACACGAGAGGCAGCGACACAGUGUCUGAUGCUGAGAGGGCUUGGAGAAGCACAUGGGACUUUUGCAAUUCGUGUGUGUUUUAAAUCUCCUUAUCCACGAAGAGGGUAGAGUAAACUCAAGGGAGAAAGAAGCUCGGGUCUUCAAAAACAUUGUCCUGAAACAUUAACCAAAAAAUAAAAAGGAAAAAAAAAAAGAAAAAAAAAA
Orcinus orca (killer whale) is the source of this 3219-nucleotide long non-coding RNA. RefSeq lists it as uncharacterized. The record is from RefSeq and is a predicted model, not a curated record. The transcript is spliced from 2 exons. Lineage: Eukaryota; Metazoa; Chordata; Mammalia; Artiodactyla; Delphinidae.